CCUACGGGAGGCAGCAGUGAGGAAUAUUGGUCAAUGGGCGGGAGCCUGAACCAGCCAAGCCGCGUGAGGGAAGAAGGUACAGCGUAUCGUAAACCUCUUUUGUCAGGGAACAAAGGCGGGGACUAGUCCCCGGAUGAGGGUACCUGAAGAAAAAGCAUCGGCUAACUCCGUGCCAGCAGCCGCGGUAAUACGGAGGAUGCGAGCGUUAUCCGGAUUUAUUGGGUUUAAAGGGAGCGCAGACGGCAGUGGAAGUCUGGAGUGAAAGCCCGGGGCCCAACCCCGGAACUGCUCUGGAAACUGUGCGGCUAGAGUACUGGAGGGGCAGGCGGAAUUCGUGGUGUAGCGGUGAAAUGCGUAGAUAUUAGGAGGAACACCAGUGGCGAAGGCGGCCUGCUGGACUGUAACUGACGUUGAGGCUCGAAAGCGUGGGGAGCAAACAGGAUUAGAUACCCUGGUAGUC
Molecule: ribosomal RNA, 460 nt
Filed under: uncultured bacterium
Lineage: Bacteria
Description: partial 16S ribosomal RNA
Rfam family: Bacterial small subunit ribosomal RNA
Source: RNAcentral